This is a non-coding RNA of Dallia pectoralis (Alaska blackfish), 72 nucleotides long. Lineage: Eukaryota; Metazoa; Chordata; Actinopteri; Esociformes; Umbridae. The record is from the annotation of a GenBank genome assembly.
GUUGGUGUAGUUUAAUGGUGGAGUGCAUGCUUUGUAUGUAUAAUGUCCUGAGUUCAAUCCCCAGCUUCUCCC